Molecule: ribosomal RNA, 254 nt
Filed under: uncultured bacterium
Lineage: Bacteria
Description: partial 16S ribosomal RNA
Rfam family: Bacterial small subunit ribosomal RNA
Source: RNAcentral
UACGGAGGGUGCAAGCGUUAUCCGGAUUCACUGGGCUUAAAGGGCGCGUAGGCGGCCACCGCAAGUCGGUUGUGAAAUCUCCGGGCUUAACCCGGAAAGGUCAAUCGAUACUGCGGGGCUAGAGUGCAGAAGGGGCAACUGGAAUUCUCGGUGUAGCGGUGAAAUGCGUAGAUAUCGAGAGGAACACCUGCGGCGAAGGCGGGUUGCUGGGCUGAUACUGACGCUGAGGCGCGAAAGCCAGGGGAGCGAACGGG